AUCAGGGGUGCCGCAUCGUUUGGUGUGGCUGAGAACAGACCCUCGGAAUCUGAACCAGGUAAUGCUGGCGUAGAGAGUAUGAACAUAUU
This 89-nucleotide non-coding RNA is filed under the name bovine gut metagenome. The record is from RNAcentral.